GACGAACGCUGGCGGCGUGCUUAACACAUGCCAGUCGAACGGAAAGGCCCUGCUUUUGUGGGGUGCUCGUGUGGCGAACGGGUGAGUAACACGCGAGUAACCUGCCCUUGACUUUGGGAUAUCUUCAGGAAACUGGGGCUAUUACCGGAUAGGAGCUCUUGAUGCACGGUGGGGGUUGGUAAGUUUCGGCGGUUGGGGCUCGUCUCGCGGCAUAACGGCUUGUUGGUGGGGUUGUGGCUUACCCAGGCUUCGACGGCUAGCCGGCCUGUGAGGAUGACCGGCCGAAUUGGGACUGAGGGGAGGCCCAGACGCCUACGGGAGGCAGCAGUGGGAAAGAUUGCAGAAGGAGCGGAAGCCUGAUGCAGCAACGCCGCGUGCGGGAUAACGGCCUUCGUGUUGAAAACCGCAUUCGCCUGUAACGAAGCGUGAGUGACGGUAAUGGGUAAAGAAGCACCGGCUAACUACGUG
Molecule: ribosomal RNA, 468 nt
Filed under: uncultured bacterium
Lineage: Bacteria
Description: partial 16S ribosomal RNA
Rfam family: Bacterial small subunit ribosomal RNA
Source: RNAcentral